This 1444-nucleotide long non-coding RNA is filed under the name Canis lupus familiaris (dog). RNAcentral describes it as "lncRNA (ENSCAFG00000053049.1, ENSCAFG00805004567.1)". The record is from RNAcentral. Lineage: Eukaryota; Metazoa; Chordata; Mammalia; Carnivora; Canidae.
GCCCGCCCUGGCUGGGGGAGGGAACCCCCGGCCAGCGGUGGGCGUGGGGCGGCUGCGGAGGUCCCGGGCCUGCGGAGGGCAGGGCGUCCCUGUGCGCGACCCACCCCAGGCAGCGGCGCCCGGCGGCAGGUCGUCCCCACGCGCAGAGCCCUGCGGCGCCGCAGGGUGGGGAUCCCGCGGGUGCCGAAGGGCGCGUCCCCCCCGCCCCGGGCCGCCGCGGGGCUCGCCCAGCCCAGGGUCCCGCCCCCGCGGUGUGGCCGGCGGCGGUCCUGCGGUGUGGACGGCGGCCCGCCGGAGAACCAGCCUCAACCUGAUCCCCAGCGCGUCUAAGCGAGGGAUGAAUGACCCACAGCACCGGCUGUGUCCUGGGGGCCAGGUGGCAGCAACCAUCUGUUAAUAGCAGCACUAAGUGGAUGGGUGAAUGGGUGUCAGGUGAGGUUUAAUCUGGAAUGCCUCAGAGACCCCACUGCUCUUCCCUGGCCUUUAGUGGAUUAACGGUCUGAAGCUCUGGGCGUGGAUAAACUAGAACAGUCUCCAUCCACAUUUAUCCCCUCCUUUGCUCACCUGAUAGCUUUCUCGACCCUCAGCAGUCAGCUCCUCUUGCUCAGCAGCCUGCUGGAGACACCACAGGUAUCCUACCUACAAGGACGACCUUUGCCAUUGUCCUCAUCCUCACACCAACCCAGCCCCCUUAGAGCCCUCCACACCGCCAGUGUCCCCGCCCAGCCCCUGCCAGGCAUCAGCCUCUGGCAUCAGCCUUUGUGUGCAGAUGAAGCUGUCUGGGCUGCCUUUGUCCUGGGAGGGACUGGGAUUUUGAUCACUAAUUAGUGGCUGGCAAAUCAGGAGUUAGCCUUCGUCCCCUUUCCAGGACCCACAGGUAAUUCUUAUGUGGGAAACAAGGGCAAAAGAAAAAAAAUGAAAUUUCCUUACUGCCUACAGCCCACUGGCGUGUCCUUGAAACAGGCUGAGUGACCUCUACCCCCCAAGAUAAACGUUAGCAAUCCUCUUCCAAGCAUGUGACCCAUCUGAAAGUUCUCAUGACUAAGUUUUUACUAAACUAAUAAGCAACCUUUUCCUAAUGACAGCUAGGCCCUGCAGGAUCCUGGAAACCUCUUUUCCAAAAUACCUCCCCCUGACCCCCUCCCAACUUGAAAGCAUCUAAUGGGCCACUCCUCAUGACCCCGGUGCCCCUCUUCCUGCCCACAAGUCCUGUCCUGGUGCUUUAAUAAAACCACCUUUUUGCACCAAAGAUGUCUGAAGAAUGUUUUCUUGGCCAUGGGCUCCAAACCCCAACACUUCAAACCACAUCAAUACCACAAGGGUUCCUGCCCCCAUUUCCUGCCUGGGAAUUAGGGUGAUCCCUGCCAGCCCAACCUCCCACCAUGUGGAUAAGAUGGGCAGAGGCUCCCAGACAGCAGUGAACUGAGACUGUGAUUCGCAUUUG